CCUGCCCAUGCUGCUAAAUGUAGUCUAUUUCCCCAAGAGAUCAUGAUGUUAAGGACAAAAAAAUGAACAACAAAAGACUGCAAUGAACACGUAAAGUAGAUCAGAUCUAUCAUUGCUCUAGCUGUAAUCUACAAACCAUCAUUCUCCUAGCAACCAAAUCAAGUGUGACGAAUCAAAAUGUAAAACCUAGAAAUAAUGUUUAGCAUUGAAUAAAGUUGUAUAAGCUGAUACUAAGGUUUUAAGAACCCUAAUUAAGGCCGUAGCAAAUUACAUUCAGCAAACAUCGGAAAAUUUGUAGUCAAACAGAGAAAAGCGAGUCGAGAGAAUUUAAAUUUCAUGAUCAAGCAGAAACUAAAAUCGAAGAAGAUUGAUUUUGCGAGAAGAAAGGAUACGGAGUCCGAGAAUGCUUAUCCCUA
This is a long non-coding RNA of Arabidopsis thaliana (thale cress), 416 nucleotides long. RefSeq annotates it as other RNA. The transcript has a single exon. Lineage: Eukaryota; Viridiplantae; Streptophyta; Magnoliopsida; Brassicales; Brassicaceae. The record is from RefSeq.